CGGGGUGUGGCGCAGCUUGGUAGCGCGCUUCGUUCGGGACGAAGAGGUCGUGGGUUCGAAUCCCGCCACCCCGACGA
RNAcentral lists this transfer RNA (77 nucleotides) under Pengzhenrongella frigida. RNAcentral describes it as "Cellulomonas sp. HLT2-17 tRNA-Pro". It matches the Rfam family "tRNA". From Rfam's summary of the family: Transfer RNA (tRNA) molecules are approximately 80 nucleotides in length. Their secondary structure includes four short double-helical elements and three loops (D, anti-codon, and T loops). The record is from RNAcentral. Lineage: Bacteria; Bacillati; Actinomycetota; Actinomycetes; Micrococcales.